This is a long non-coding RNA of Drosophila innubila, 493 nucleotides long. RefSeq lists it as uncharacterized. Lineage: Eukaryota; Metazoa; Arthropoda; Insecta; Diptera; Drosophilidae. The record is from RefSeq and is a predicted model, not a curated record. The transcript has 2 exons.
CCAGAAUGCUCUGUACAUCCUUCUCCAGGAUAUGGAAGUUGUCGCAGUUCCUCACCGCCGACUCCAAGAGCACACGGAUCGAGUAUGGCAGCUGGUCUGUAAGCAAAUGCGUUUCACUUUAUGGCCAAGAGCUUCUCAAAUAAAACACUUGUUGUUAGUUAAGUAAGUGUCUGUCUCACUUGCCCUUUGCAACUGCCUAGCAAAACUGAAUAAUUGUCACCUUGCCCAACCAAACUUGGAAACAGACGCAGUCACUAAAACACGCGCCGCACUUAAAAAUAUUCCGCAAGUGUACAUAAGAAUGCUUUAGUCGAGAGUGCCCGAAUACAAGAUACCCUAGACUAGACUUUUAGAUAUCCUAAAAUUGCACAGCACAUUUGAUCUACUGCAUUUAUAGGUAUGUUUGCUUUUGAUUGCUUAAUUCAGAUAUAAUAUCUGUAAAAAAAUAUAUAAAAUAAAAUACUAAGCUUAAGUUUUAACAUAAUCCAACAAA